Long non-coding RNA from Limanda limanda (common dab), 1926 nucleotides. RefSeq lists it as uncharacterized. Lineage: Eukaryota; Metazoa; Chordata; Actinopteri; Pleuronectiformes; Pleuronectidae. The transcript is spliced from 5 exons. The record is from RefSeq and is a predicted model, not a curated record.
UAAAUGUCCCCCUAUGCCCAUCCACUGCAGCCACACAAGCAGUGAUAAAGAUAAAAAGAGAGAGUGGGGCUACGUAUUCUCCACACAGGCUUGAGUGGAGAAUACGUAAUUUACCCUCGACAGCCGACAUUUAACGGAGCAAACAGCGGAGAACUUCUUCAACAUGGAUGACAUUAAAUUAAUAAUUGAAGUGGAGAAGUGCAGUGAAAAAAAAGAUUAAUGAUGGGACAAUGUUGGUUAAUGUUGGAGCAAGCGCUGCACGGCGCUUCAGCGUGGCUUCCGCGUCCGGAAAGCGACGUCAUGACGUAGUCAGCGUCACUGCGCACUCGUGUUUUGAGACGCCAGCCCAGCGCUCUCAGGUAGAGUGGGCUUGUCCGGACAUGUUGGGGUGUAGUUGAUCAGAUUCACGUCCUUCUAUCGCAAGUUCCGCCGCCUGAUAUCGCCCGACGGCAAGUUUUGUCGACUGAUGUCCUCCGACCGCAUGUCCUACGGCUGCGUGUCCUCCUCACUUUCUUCCAGCACUAACUAGGAUUUGGAUGCAGUGUAAGGAGUGCAAGUUCUCGCACCCUAAUCAGGAUAUUCUCCUCAAGCAUUACCGACUUUGCCACUACCGGGGACGCUUCUGGCCACUGCCGUGCCUGUACACUGACUGCUGCUGCACUUUCAAAACAAGCGAUAUAUGCUGAGUUUUUUUGAAUCACUCAAGUGGAUCUAAAGAAGACAUUCUUCACAUCUUUGGAUGCACACGCCUCAAACCUGAUAAAGCUUUACAGAACACGUAGCAGGACACUAGAAAAGGACUUAAAGGCCCUCCUUGACAACCUUGAUGAACAGACAACCAAUGUGCUUGCACAAAGGAAGGCCACAGCUCUCCGAGGUCUACCUCUCUAUUUGAGGGAGAAUCCAGGCAACGUCCUGAAGACAUGUCUGACUCGGAGGAAACGUCCGUUGCAGGUGUUCAACUUGGCAUAGUCACCAUUGUUGAAGAUGAUGUUGGGAGAGCUCACUCAAUGCCCAGAACAAUCAACAUUGCCCUUGUCAUCGAGGAAAAGGUUGUUGUGGAGGACAUCUCUGACAUCAGUACAGCCAUUGUCCUUCUCUUUGGAUGCAUCUACAACCUCAACCUGGACUACCCCAAAGGGUUGAGGUACACUUUUGAGGCCCUUCAAAAGAUUUUUAUGAACCUUGGCACUGAGUGUUCUGCCCGUGUUCAGGCUCUGAAAAACAACUUGUUAAAGUAGCCCGAUACCAUGACACAUAGACAUGUGUUCAAUGCACAUAUUUGCACACAUUGACAUGUCACUUUAUUCCUCAAAAUAUGUUUUUAAGUUCAGUAGUAGCUACACAAAUCCCAUGUUCCCAUUUGAAGUUAGUGUUUACUAACUGCUGGAUUUGUUUGUCUCUGAAACUAAACACGUUUGUGUCUUGUUACACGUUUUUAUGGAUGCACUUUCUAUAGACAUGUCACUUUAUUCCUCAAAAUAUGUUUUCAAGUUCAGUAGUAGCUACACAAGUUUGUGUAGUGUUGCUACGAAUCCCAUGUUCCCAUUGGAAGUUAGUGUUUACUAAGUGCUGGAUUUGGUUAUCUCUGCAACUGAACACGUUUGUGUCUUGUUACAUGUUUUUUAUGGAUGCACUUUCUUCACUGCUGGGUUUGGCCAGUGGUUUCCUCAAGUAUCUGACUAACACAUGUUUUGUGAUUCAUAGUGUCAAUCAUACUGUUUUCUAUAUUAUAGCUAAAGUAUUGAGAGCUGGUUCUGCACUUUGUUAUGUGUUUACAUAUUCUAUCUUUGAAAAUAAUUGUAUAAUGUUACCAAGUUCACUUAAGCAUCCCUGCUGCUGCAAUUUCAAUGUUGCCUUUUUUGUAGUUAUUGGAUGUAUAUAAUGUUAACCCCUGUGUUCUUAAUAAACAGAUUCUUUAUAGAA